UAAAAAGAGAAAACUUCGAGAUCUAAUCCAGAGUACCACGAGACACGUGAAACCUUGUGGGAAGCAGGGAGGACCACCUCCCAAGGCUAAAUACUACCUAGUGACCGAUAGUGAAGCAGUACCGUGAGGGAAAGGUGAAAAGAACCCCGGAAGGGGAGUGAAAUAGAACCUGAAACCGUGUGCCUACAACCGAUCGGAGCACGUUAAAGUGUGACGAUGUGCUUUUUGUAGAACGAGCCAGCGAGUUACGCUAUGUAGCAAGGUUAAGUACUUAAGGUAUGGAGCCGAAGGGAAACCGAGUCUGAAAAGGGCGAAAAGUUGCAUGGUGUAGACCCGAAACCGGGUGACCUAUCCAUGGCCAGGUUGAAGCGAGAGUAAAAUCUCGUGGAGGACCGAACCACGUUGGUGUUGAAAAACCAUGGGAUGAGCUGUGGAUAGCGGAGAAAUUCCAAUCGAACUCGGAGAUAGCUGGUUCUCCUCGAAAUAGCUUUAGGGCUAGCGUCGUGUAAUUGAGUAAUGGAGGUAGAGCACUGAAUGGGCUAGGGGCUAUAGUAGUUACCGAACCCUAUCAAACUCCGAAUGCCAUAUACUUGUAUCACGGCAGUCAGACUGCGAAUGAUAAGAUCCGUAGUCAAAAGGGAAACAGCCCAGACCAUCAGCUAAGGUCCCAAAGUGUAAGUUAAGUGGAAAAGGAUGUGGGAUUUCUAAGACAACUAGGAUGUUGGCUUAGAAGCAGCCACUCAUUUAAAGAGUGCGUAAUAGCUCACUAGUCAAGAGAUCCUGCGCCGAAGAUGUCCGGGGCUCAAACUUACCACCGAAGCUAUGGGUGUACACUAUGUGUACGCGGUAGAGGAGCUUUCUGUAUGGGUUGAAGUCGUACCGUAAGGAGCGGUGGACUGUACAGAAGUGAGAAUGCUGGCAUAAGUAGCGAGAAAUAAGUGAGAAUCUUAUUGGCCGAAAACCUAAGGUUUCCUGAGGAAGGUUCGUCCGCUCAGGGUUAGUCGGGACCUAAGCCGAGGCCGAAAGGCGUAGGUGAUGGACAAUCGGUUGAUAUUCCGAUACC
RNAcentral lists this ribosomal RNA (1063 nucleotides) under Clostridium botulinum. RNAcentral describes it as "partial 23S ribosomal RNA". It matches the Rfam family "Bacterial large subunit ribosomal RNA", at positions 380 to 1445 of the family's 2925-position model. Lineage: Bacteria; Bacillati; Bacillota; Clostridia; Eubacteriales; Clostridiaceae. The record is from RNAcentral.